GGGGCCAUAGCUCAGCUGGGAGAGCGCCUGCUUUGCAAGCAGGAGGUCGCCGGUUCGAUCCCGGCUGGCUCCA
This 73-nucleotide transfer RNA is filed under the name Solirubrobacterales bacterium. RNAcentral's name for it is "tRNA-Ala". It matches the Rfam family "tRNA". Rfam says of the family: Transfer RNA (tRNA) molecules are approximately 80 nucleotides in length. Their secondary structure includes four short double-helical elements and three loops (D, anti-codon, and T loops). Lineage: Bacteria; Bacillati; Actinomycetota; Thermoleophilia; Solirubrobacterales. RNAcentral also lists the same sequence under 14 other names. The record is from RNAcentral.